This is a non-coding RNA of Podarcis lilfordi (Lilford's wall lizard), 74 nucleotides long. Lineage: Eukaryota; Metazoa; Chordata; Lepidosauria; Squamata; Lacertidae. The record is from the annotation of a GenBank genome assembly.
GCAAAUUUUGGCUCAGUUGGUAGAGCAUGAGACUCUUAAUCUCAGGGUCAUGCGUUGAAGCCCCCUAAUGGGCG